AAACCCUCAAGCACUGCUUGGUGUUGGGCGUUUGUCCCGCCGCGGCGCGGACUCGCCUCAAAAGCAUUGGCGGCCUGUGUAUUGGCUUCGAGCGCAGCAGAAUGUGGCUCCGGACCUUUUGCGCGGGCGUCCAUCAAGAUCUCCCCCAA
This 149-nucleotide unclassified non-coding RNA is filed under the name uncultured Lophiostomataceae. Its description in RNAcentral is "sequence contains ITS2". The record is from RNAcentral. Lineage: Eukaryota; Fungi; Ascomycota; Dothideomycetes; Pleosporales; Lophiostomataceae.